GACGAACGCUGGCGGCGUGCUUAACACAUGCAAGUCGAACGAUGACGACCGAGCUUGCUCGGUCUGAUUAGUGGCGAACGGGUGAGUAACACGUGAGCAACCUGCCCUUCACUCUGGGAUAACCUCGGGAAAUCGGGGCUAAUACCGGAUAUGAGCUCCUGUCGCAUGGCGGGUGUUGGAAAGUUUUUCGGUGUAGGAUGGGCUCGCGGCUUAUCGGUUUGUUGGGGAGGUAGUGGCUCAGCAAGGCGAUGACGGGUAGCCGGCCUGGGAGGGCGACCGGCCACACGGGGACUGAGACACGGCCCAGACUGCUACGGGAGGCAGCAGUGGGAAAUAUUGCACAAUGGGCGAAAGCCUGAUGCAGCGACGCCGCGUGAGGGAUGACGGCCUUCGGGUUGUAAACCUCUUUCAGCAGGGAAGAAGCGAAAGUGACGGUACCUGCAGAAGAAGCGCCGGCUAACUACGUG
This 467-nucleotide ribosomal RNA is filed under the name uncultured bacterium. RNAcentral describes it as "partial 16S ribosomal RNA". It matches the Rfam family "Bacterial small subunit ribosomal RNA", at positions 28 to 507 of the family's 1533-position model. The record is from RNAcentral.